RNAcentral lists this ribosomal RNA (209 nucleotides) under Klebsiella pneumoniae. RNAcentral's name for it is "partial 16S ribosomal RNA". It matches the Rfam family "Bacterial small subunit ribosomal RNA", at positions 359 to 560 of the family's 1533-position model. The record is from RNAcentral. Lineage: Bacteria; Pseudomonadati; Pseudomonadota; Gammaproteobacteria; Enterobacterales; Enterobacteriaceae.
GAAUAUUGCACAAUGGGCGCAAGCCUGAUGCAGCCAUGCCGCGUGUGUGAAGAAGGCCUUCGGGUUGUAAAGCACUUUCAGCGGGGAGGAAGGCGUUAAGGUUAAUAACCUUGGCGAUUGACGUUACCCGCAGAAGAAGCACCGGCUAACUCCGUGCCAGCAGCCGCGGUAAUACGGAGGGUGCAAGCGUUAAUCGGAAUUACUGGGCG